This 214-nucleotide long non-coding RNA is filed under the name Vitis vinifera (wine grape). Its description in RNAcentral is "long non-coding RNA (VVIN_LNC006999)". The record is from RNAcentral. Lineage: Eukaryota; Viridiplantae; Streptophyta; Magnoliopsida; Vitales; Vitaceae.
UUUCCUUGAAUUAUUUGUUGGAAUUUUAUGUUGUUUCUAUGAUUUCAUAAAAUCUUUUAAAGUGUCAUUGCAUCUCGGUUUAUUGCAUUGAAAUGUUACAAUGAUGUUGGAACGUAUAUUGGUAUGAAGAUUUGUGGUUUUGUGUUGUCGAAAUGGUUUAUGGUGUGAUUGCAUUGCAAGAAGGAUAUGGAAUUAUCACAGAUCAUAUUCAGAG